This 406-nucleotide ribosomal RNA is filed under the name uncultured bacterium. RNAcentral's name for it is "partial 16S ribosomal RNA". It matches the Rfam family "Bacterial small subunit ribosomal RNA", at positions 29 to 526 of the family's 1533-position model. The record is from RNAcentral.
AUUGAACGCUGGCGGCAGGCCUAACACAUGCAAGUCGAACGAGCGGCGGACGGGUGAGUAAUGUCUGGGAAACUGCCCGAUGGAGGGGGAUAACUACUGGAAACGGUGGCUAAUACCGCAUACUAUCAGAUGUGCCCAGAUGGGAUUAGCUUGUUGGGGGGGUAAAGGCGCACCAAGGCGACGAUCCCUAGCUGGUCUGAGAGGAUGACCAGCAACACGGGAACUGAGACACGGUCCAGACUCCUACGGGAGGCAGCAGUGGGGAAUAUUGCACAAGGGGCGCAAGCCUGAUGCAGCCAUGCCGCGUGUAUGAAGAAGGCCUUCGGGUUGUAAAGUACUUUCAGCGGGGAGGCGUUACCCGCAGAAGAAGCACCGGCUAACUCCGUGCCAGCAGCCGCGGUAAUUC